RNAcentral lists this non-coding RNA (185 nucleotides) under Lysobacteraceae bacterium. RNAcentral describes it as "Xanthomonadaceae bacterium 6S RNA". It matches the Rfam family "6S / SsrS RNA". Rfam says of the family: E. coli 6S RNA was the first non coding RNA to be sequenced, but its function was unknown until recently. It consists of 184 nucleotides that fold into an extended hairpin structure with a large single-stranded internal bulge. The record is from RNAcentral. Lineage: Bacteria; Pseudomonadati; Pseudomonadota; Gammaproteobacteria; Lysobacterales; Lysobacteraceae.
CAUCCUCUGCCGUGAACGACGGCAUGCAAAACAUUCGCCUUGUCCCUUAAAUACGACCACGGGAAGGGAACGGAAGCCGGGAGUGCAAGUCCGCCUCGCAGCGGGAAGCCCGAUGGCCCCCAACUCUUCCCACUUGAACCCCGGGUUCAAGGUCGUUUCGCAGGCAUCGUCAUGGCGGAGGAUGU